UUUUUAAGAUAAGUAUGUCCCAUGCAGUAUUGGGGGUAUACUUAUACUAAGA
RNAcentral lists this microRNA precursor (52 nucleotides) under Ailuropoda melanoleuca (giant panda). RNAcentral describes it as "mir-1302 microRNA precursor family". It matches the Rfam family "mir-1302 microRNA precursor family". Lineage: Eukaryota; Metazoa; Chordata; Mammalia; Carnivora; Ursidae. The record is from Rfam by way of RNAcentral.